This 432-nucleotide ribosomal RNA is filed under the name uncultured bacterium. Its description in RNAcentral is "partial 16S ribosomal RNA". It matches the Rfam family "Bacterial small subunit ribosomal RNA", at positions 29 to 506 of the family's 1533-position model. The record is from RNAcentral.
AACGAACGCUGGCGGCAGGCUUAACACAUGCAAGUCGAGCGAGACCUUCGGGUCUAGCGGCGGACGGGUGAGUAACGCGUGGGAACGUGCCCUUCUCUACGGAAUAGCCCCGGGAAACUGGGAGUAAUACCGUAUACGCCCUUUGGGGGAAAGAUUUAUCGGAGAAGGAUCGGCCCGCGUUGGAUUAGGUAGUUGGUGGGGUAAUGGCCCACCAAGCCGACGAUCCAUAGCUGGUUUGAGAGGAUGAUCAGCCACACUGGGACUGAGACACGGCCCAGACCCCAAGGGGAGGCAGGGGUGGGGAAUUUUAGAAAAGGGGGGCAACCCUGAUUUGGCCAUGCCGGGUGAGUGAUGAAGGCCUUAGGGUUUAAAAGCUCUUUCAGCGGGGAAGAUAAGGACGGUACCAGCAAAAAAAGCCCCGGCUAACUCCGU